ACUUGCCUUCCUGUAGCCCGUGUGACAGACUUGAAACAAUAUUCUUCAGUAUUUCUUCUGUGGUGGUGUUUAUACCUCUAUUGGGGACCUCUGGAAUGGAGACAUUUGAUCUGCCUUGUAGGGAAAGUUUAUAACCUGCUCUACUGAUUUUUUUUUUUCAGGGGCUAAGAGCUAAGGAUUUUCUUUGUCCCCCUGAGGAGACUUUGCACUCGGACUUUUCAGUGUUGGAGCCGUCAGGACUCUGGGUGGUGCUUGGAGACCAUAGGCCUUUAAAUCAUACCUAGUAGAAGGAGCCAAGUGCCUCUGAAGAGAGUCUAGGGACCCUGGCUGCUUCUUCUGUUGUAUGCUUCCACCAUGGUGUGUUAUGGGAUGUGACCAAAUGCCCAGAGCAAGAACACUACAGAACCAUUCAUGGAAGCCUCUGGAAACACCACCCGGAAUAAGCCCCUCCUCCUUCCUGCAAGUUGGUUUAUCUCGGGUAUUUGUAACAGAGACCACAGAUAAAGAGAAGAGCUAUGAGCGACAGCUGGCAAUUUUAUCAAUAAAGGAUGGAAUCGUUGGGGAAAAUCCAACUGUGAGUUAGAGUAGCCUCAUGCUACCUGGAAAGGCAAGAUGACCAAGGAGCAGCAGAUCCAUCCUAUUGGCUUAUACAGAAAUUCAUUCUGCACCGGAUGCCGUGAGCAUCGGAUUCAGCAGGGUGCGCACAGGGAAUUCCUCAUCUAGAACAAGGAGGCCAUUUAGUGAGUUGGAAUUAGUGGAAGGUGUUAGUCUCUUGGAAGCCAAUGCCUGGAUACCCUCGGGGAGAUUUCCAAACCCUUAUUCCCUUAGGAUCAAAGUUAAGAAAACCUGUUUGGAUGAAGAUAAGGUUCUUAGUGAAGACCAAGAGAUACAAGGGACGAUUGGAGGGCUACCCAAAUAAGUUCUUUAAGAGGACAGAACUGGGGUCUCAAAAUUGGCCCCACCACCACGGGCAUCUGCUGAGGCAGGUGGCUCGGGAGCCCCCAGUGUUUAGGUUCCCCUUGAGGGCGCUCUGGUGUCUAUAGAUGUGCUUAAGAACAAGAGUUGUCUUCAACACGUAGAACUCUGGCCCAUUCACUUGCAGGAACUCCGGAGUGAGCGUUGCCCGGUGGAGGAGUGAACUUGGUGCACUGCUCCGACCCAGCUGAGCUUGGAGGGAAGCCCAGCCUCAAGCUAGCGGCAUUGCUCUUGACCAAGUGCAACCGCUUCAGCCUGUGACUCUGGUAUGGGCAUCUCUGAGCCGUGCUCCUUGAUGAGAGCGUGGGUGCCACGCUGCAGCAAUGAAGGUAACUGACUGACGGGCCCUUCUGAGGCUCGGCCCCAACAGCAAGGCUGGAAAGACUGUGUCUAGGAAACAUCUGGGCGUUGUCAGGAUAUGCAGCGGCACUUACAAAAGAGAACAGAACAAAAGAGCGCAUACACUUUUAGAAAUCCUUCCAAUUACAGAUCAAAGCACACGAA
This is a long non-coding RNA of Mus musculus (house mouse), 1479 nucleotides long. RefSeq annotates it as predicted gene, 30402. The transcript is spliced from 3 exons. The record is from RefSeq and is a predicted model, not a curated record. Lineage: Eukaryota; Metazoa; Chordata; Mammalia; Rodentia; Muridae.